This 543-nucleotide ribosomal RNA is filed under the name Sporoschisma juvenile. RNAcentral describes it as "LSU rRNA". It matches the Rfam family "Eukaryotic large subunit ribosomal RNA", at positions 1 to 552 of the family's 3401-position model. The record is from RNAcentral. Lineage: Eukaryota; Fungi; Ascomycota; Sordariomycetes; Chaetosphaeriales; Chaetosphaeriaceae.
UGACCUCGAAUUAGGUAGGAAUACCCGCUGAACUUAAGCAUAUCAAUAAGCGGAGGAAAAGAAACCAACCGGGAUUGCCUCAGUAACGGCGAGUGAAGCGGCAACAGCUCAAAUUUGAAAUCUGGCCCUUCCGGGUCCGAGUUGUACUUUGCAGAGGAUGCUUCUGGCAAGGCACCGCCCAAGUCCCCUGGAACGGGGCGCCGGAGAGGGUGAGAGCCCCGUACGGUCGGCUGCCGAGCCUGCGUGAAGCUCCUUCGACGAGUCGAGUAGUUUGGGAAUGCUGCUCUAAGUGGGAGGUAGACCCCUUCUAAAGCUAAAUACCGGCCAGAGACCGAUAGCGCACAAGUAGAGUGAUCGAAAGAUGAAAAGCACUUUGAAAAGAGGGUUAAACAGCACGUGAAAUUGUUGAGAGGGAAGCGCUUGCGAUCAGACGUGCGCCGGGGUGCUCCGUGGGCGUUCUCGCCCGCGUACUCGCCCCGGCGCAGGCCAGCGUCGGUUCGGACGGGGGGAUAAAGGCGCCUGGGACGUGGCUCCCUCGGGAGU